Molecule: ribosomal RNA, 472 nt
Filed under: uncultured bacterium
Lineage: Bacteria
Description: bacterial SSU rRNA
Rfam family: Bacterial small subunit ribosomal RNA
Source: RNAcentral
CGGCAGGCCUAACACAUGCAAGUCGAGCGGUAGAGAGGUGCUUGCAUCUCUUGAGAGCGGCGGACGGGUGAGUAAUGCCUAGGAAUCUGCCUGGUGGUGGGGGAUAACGUUCGGAAACGGACGCUAAUACCGCAUACGUCCUACGGGAGAAAGCGGGGGAUCUUCGGACCUCGCGCCAUUAGAUGAGCCUAGGUCGGAUUAGCUAGUUGGUGAGGUAAUGGCUCACCAAGGCGACGAUCCGUAACUGGUCUGAGAGGAUGAUCAGUCACACUGGAACUGAGACACGGUCCAGACUCCUACGGGAGGCAGCAGUGGGGAAUAUUGGACAAUGGGCGAAAGCCUGAUCCAGCCAUGCCGCGUGUGUGAAGAAGGUCUUCGGAUUGUAAAGCACUUUAAGUUGGGAGGAAGGGUAGUAACCUAAUACGUUGCUACUUUGACGUUACCGACAGAAUAAGCACCGGCUAACUUCGUG